This 426-nucleotide ribosomal RNA is filed under the name Pichia kudriavzevii. RNAcentral's name for it is "eukaryotic LSU rRNA". It matches the Rfam family "Eukaryotic large subunit ribosomal RNA", at positions 129 to 563 of the family's 3401-position model. Lineage: Eukaryota; Fungi; Ascomycota; Pichiomycetes; Pichiales; Pichiaceae. The record is from RNAcentral.
CUUUGCGGCACGAGUUGUAGAUUGCAGGUUGGAGUCUGUGUGGAAGGCGGUGUCCAAGUCCCUUGGAACAGGGCGCCCAGGAGGGUGAGAGCCCCGUGGGAUGCCGGCGGAAGCAGUGAGGCCCUUCUGACGAGUCGAGUUGUUUGGGAAUGCAGCUCCAAGCGGGUGGUAAAUUCCAUCUAAGGCUAAAUACUGGCGAGAGACCGAUAGCGAACAAGUACUGUGAAGGAAAGAUGAAAAGCACUUUGAAAAGAGAGUGAAACAGCACGUGAAAUUGUUGAAAGGGAAGGGUAUUGCGCCCGACAUGGGGAUUGCGCACCGCUGCCUCUCGUGGGCGGCGCUCUGGGCUUUCCCUGGGCCAGCAUCGGUUCUUGCUGCAGGAGAAGGGGUUCUGGAACGUGGCUCUUCGGAGUGUUAUAGCCAGGG